Molecule: long non-coding RNA, 2761 nt
Filed under: Homo sapiens (human)
Lineage: Eukaryota; Metazoa; Chordata; Mammalia; Primates; Hominidae
Description: HSALNT0281594
Source: RNAcentral
GGGACCUAUUAAAUCAAUAGGUUCCACUUCCCACAACACCUCUGCCACCAACCAAUUGAGGGUCUUCAGGAGAAGUGUUCUUAUCUGUGCAAUAGAGCCUGCCAGAAGGGGCACCUGGCAACCCUCUUCAGAGGCUUGAUCCUGUGCUGCAGAAACCUAUGGACCUGCUCAACCUGUGCACUGGAAUUCCAGGGAUAGACUGAGCUGUCCCUAGGAGGCUGGGAGCAUUCUCCAGCAGAGACCAGCAACUGCCUCCUGCCUGGAGAAUCUGGAAGGAGGAAGGGCGGCUGGAAUCACCUGUGAUGACUCCAGUGUGUCAGAGAAGACAGGAAGACCAAGAAACAGCCAAGGAGAGGGGCUGAGGAAUGAGAGAUGGAGGAGACAACAGAUUGUCCUUCCCAUUGCCAAACCUUAGGCCGGGCCUGAGGGGAUCAGACUGGGCAAUUGAAUCCUCAAAGGUUCCUGGAAGGACUACUUAGGAAUUGAAUGUGCUGAGACUUCCUCUCAAAGGAGCCCCUCCUUCUUAAAUGAAUCCAGGAGAGAAGUUCUGAAGACUGUGGUCUAUGCUAAAGGAAUGCAGAUAUUUAUAAAUGGUCAUCUGCAUUGAAUGAACCAAGUCCAAAUGACAAUCAAGGAGAACUGUAAACAUAGGAAAAGAGGGCUGAACCCAUGCUUCCAGGGAAGGAAGAAGAGAGAGAGAAAGAGAAGAGAAGAGAGAGAGAGAGAGACUGACUUCUGGAAUCAAUCAAGGGAAGUCUGGAAAUGGUGGAUGAAUGGAACAGAAAUCCCCAAGCCAAGUGUGAACAGGACUCAGACUUGUGUACACAUGGAGAAUAGCGUCUGGCGCCAAGAACGCAGAGCGGCUGAGAACUGGUGUUUCUCCUCUUAGGAAAGAAAAUGACAGGGAAAGGAAGAAAAAUAGGAAAGAAGAAAGGAAGAGAGAGAAGAAGGAAAAAAAGAGGGAGGGAGGGAAGGAAAGGGUAGGGAAGGAAGGAAAGAGGAAAAGAAGGAGGAAGAGGAAGAGAUGGAGAGAAGAAAGAAAGGAAGGAAAAGGGAGGGAAGAAAAGGAAAAGAGGGAGGAAGGGAGAAAUGGAAGAAGGGAAAGAAGGAAAAGAAGGAGGAAGAGGAAGAGAUGGAGAGAAGAAAGGAAGGAAGGAAAAGGGAGAGAAGAAAAAGAAAAGAGGGAGGAAGGGAGAAAAGGAAGAAGGGAAAGAAGGAAAAAAGGAAGAAGAGAGGAAUGGAAGGAAGAAGGGAAGGGAAAGAGGGAGACAGGUAAAGAGGGAGGGAGGGAAAUAAGGAAGAGGGAGAAAGAGGGAGAAAGGGGGGAGGAGCAAAGGACGGAAGAAGGAAGGAAAGAAGAAGGGAGGGAAGGGAAAAUAGAGGAAAUGAAGGACGGCACAGGGAAGGGGAAAAAGGACGAAGAGGAGGAAAAGAGGGAGGGAAGAAGGAAGAAGAAAAGGAAAGAGAAAAGAAGGAGGGAGGGAGGGAAGGAAGACAGGAAGGAAAACCAAACGUCGAGGUAGCACUGUGUGUUUGGAUUUCUUGCUUUACUGAAGUAUUACCUUCAUCAGAAGCAGAUGGACUGAAUCACGUCAAAGUCUACCUAGGCAGGAAGCAUUGUUUUAAUUUACCCAGGUCACGGCAAACAUAUUGUCAUUCAGCAUGUGAAACUGUUUGAACUUACAAGGAGUAACCCAGCAACAGCAAUUACCCCACGUGUCCGUUGUGCUCUGAUGAUACAAACGCAACUGGAAUGGAGUCUCAUAAUUUCACAAGGUGACAAAACAUUGAAUUCUGAUGUUUCACCUCCACCUGCGAAUGAGCAGGGAGGUGCUGAGAGGCCAGCUGAAUACACAAAUUCCUUGGGCCCAUGGGCACUGUACAGAGGCCGGCUGCACUGGGGCAAGCUUGCCCUCCUCUCAACCUCAGGCCGGCAGCCAAUGCAGAGCAGCCCCACCGCGGGCUUUUGUCUGCUGAGAGCACACCCCCUGCAUUUCUUAUCAGAUUUACUGUGACAAGGACCCGGAGAAAAGCAAGAUGCUGGUAAGAGCUCAUCAAUUCAGACCCCACUAUUCAGAAAUUUGGAUUUAUUUUUUUGUCACGGAGAACUAGAACUGAUGUGAAUCUUGGCACUAUCCUUGAAAAAAAAUCAUUCAUAAUAACACAACAAUAAUAUAUAACAUUUACUGAGUUCUGACUCUGAACGAGGUACUGUCUGGAGUGCUCUUCGUGGAUGUCUCAUUUAAUCUUCAAAGCAACACUGUGAGGAAGGUCCUAUUAUUCUCUCCAUUUUGCAGGCGAUUACUUUGAGGCACAGAGAGGUCAAGGCCUGCCCAAGGUCACACAGCUAAUGAAUGGGAGAGCCUGGAUUCAGAACCCCAGCAGUCUGAUUGAUGCCAGAGCCAUAUUCUCAAUCACACUUUAAAAGGCAACUCCCAGCUAGGUCAAGAAUUCAGAUUGUUUCUAUGGACCUGAAAAUCAUUUUAACAGUACCCAUUUCUGUUGUUAAAAAAAAAAAAAAAAAGACAAGACAGUGACCCAAUCGAUGAUUCUUAUCCAUUCAUUAAGUCAAAGUUGCUCCUUGACCAUCCUGUUAGCCCUUAUUUCAUGCAUGUGAAAUGAAUAAAACUUCAUUUUGUUCAAAAAGACCCUUGGAUUCAGACUUUCUAUGCUUUUAGGUGGGCUUUCUUAUUAUUAUUCAAAGUCACUGAGGUUUUUCUCAAAGACUUCGGAGACUAAACUAAUCACAGCUGCCUUUGAG